Molecule: ribosomal RNA, 645 nt
Filed under: Entoloma nothofagi
Lineage: Eukaryota; Fungi; Basidiomycota; Agaricomycetes; Agaricales; Entolomataceae
Description: partial large subunit ribosomal RNA
Rfam family: Eukaryotic large subunit ribosomal RNA
Source: RNAcentral
GCAUAUCAAUAAGCGGAGGAAAAGAAACUAACAAGGAUUCCCCUAGUAACUGCGAGUGAAGCGGGAAAAGCUCAAAUUUAAAAUCUGGUAGUCUUUGGCUGCCCGAGUUGUAAUCUAGAGAAGCGUUAUCCGCGCUGGACCGUGUAUAAGUCUCCUGGAAUGGAGCGUCAUAGAGGGUGAGAAUCCCGUCUUUAACACGGACUCCCAGGGCUUUGUGAUGCGCUCUCAAAGAGUCGAGUUGUUUGGGAAUGCAGCUCUAAAUGGGUGGUAAAUUCCAUCUAAAGCUAAAUAUUGGCGAGAGACCGAUAGCGAACAAGUACCGUGAGGGAAAGAUGAAAAGAACUUUGGAAAGAGAGUUAAACAGUACGUGAAAUUGUUGAAAGGGAAACGCUUGAAGUCAGUCGCGUUGAUCAGGGAUCAACCUUGCUUUUGCUUGGUGUACUUCCUGGUUAACGGGUCAGCAUCAAUUUUGACCAGUGGAAAAAGGUCAGGGGAAUGUGGCAUCUUCGGAUGUGUUAUAGCCUCUGGUCAUAUACAUUGGUUGGGAUUGAGGAACUCAGCACGCCGCAAGGCCGGGUUUUACCACGUUCGUGCUUAGGAUGCUGGCAUAAUGGCUUUAAUCGACCCGUCUUGAAACACGGACCA